AUUGUCCACUGUGGUUAAGUUUGCAUCUAGAAAUGAAACAAACAAGUACCAACCCGUGAUUGGUUGCCUUGUUAUAUAUAUUUAGUUGGGAGCCUUGAUGUUAGUAGAUGAAAAACAGUUAGGGGUGUGCAAUUGGUUGGUCGGGACCAAACUACCGAAAUAUAGAGUUAUGGCAACUGAACUGAAAGUAAAAACCGAGUUGAAUUCUGUUCAUCAGCUUUUAUGCCAUUUUCAGAUUUAGUGUUUCCAAGAACAAAAAUUCAAAACCCUCACAAUCUCAGCAAAUAAACACAAUCAUUCACUAGAAUUGCAAAUUUAUAGACCCAGAAAUCCAAUCACAGAAAGGAAUCAUACAUGCAACAACAUUCUACCCAGGAAAGAGAGAGAGAGAGAGAGA
Molecule: unclassified non-coding RNA, 397 nt
Filed under: Hevea brasiliensis (rubber tree)
Lineage: Eukaryota; Viridiplantae; Streptophyta; Magnoliopsida; Malpighiales; Euphorbiaceae
Source: RNAcentral